AUAUUUGGGUGUUCAUCACGUGAAUUUUUGAAAUUCAAAUAUUUUAAUUUACUUAAAAAAAUAUAAA
Molecule: transfer RNA, 67 nt
Filed under: Leptynoptera sulfurea
Lineage: Eukaryota; Metazoa; Arthropoda; Insecta; Hemiptera; Triozidae
Description: tRNA-Gln
Source: RNAcentral